AAUGGUCAUUUUACUUCCGUCCUAACGAUGCAUGAAAUAUGAGCCACUGGACGUUUAACAACAAACAAACAAUAUAUCAAUCUGUAAGAGUUCUGUUGUCAUUGAUCAGUUAUAUAAGCACUUACACCACAUUUAUAUAUGUUAACUUGUCUCUGUAAAUUAUGGCUGUCAUACAACCAUUGCACAAUUACACUACAUUUAUAUGUGUUCACUUGUCUCUAAAAGUUAUCAUUGUCAUUGAACCAUUACACACUUACACCAUUAUGAAAGUACCAUAAGUGUUUUAAUGUGCCUCUUUAAUGCAUUUCUUCUGAAAACAAUUUUCAUGUUGUUUGUCAUAAGGGUAGAUCCUAUGUAGGUCACUUCUUCAAAAUUAUACAUUAUUUAAAACAAAAAUAAGAUUUUUCGAAAAAAAUCGCUAGGACAUGGUCUCAUGUAUCUAGUAUGUCAAUUGCAACUCUCAUUGGACUCACAACUACCUGCAUACAUCUCGUUUAUGAAUUUUAUUUUAUGUAUGUAUUCAAAUGUGUUCCUCUAAGCUAACGUGAUGACUUGGCCGUUUGCCAUAUACACCACAGUUAUGUGGUUUGGCACCUGUAUGAGUUCUCGUGUGACUCUGUAAACUAUCAUGUUGACCAAACCCUUUACCACAUACACCACAUUCAUGAGGUUUAUCGCCUGUAUGUAUUCUCAUGUGUCUCUGUAAAGUAAUACGCUGACUAAACCUUUUACCACAUACAUUACAGUCAUAUGGUUUGUCACCGGUAUGUGUUCUCAUGUGAUUUUGUAAGUCACCAAGCCGACUGAACCGUUUACCACAUAUAUCACAGCCAUGAGGUUUUUCACCUGUAUGUGUUCUCGUGUGUCUCUGUAAAUUGCCAAGCUCACUAAACUGUUUACCACAUACAUCAGUCAUGAGGUUUAUCACCUGUAUGUAUUCUCAUGUGAAUUUUUAAACUACUAAGCCGAAUAAACCGUUUACCACAUACACCACAGCCAUGAGGUUUAUCACCUGUGUGUGUUCUGAUGUGCAUUUGUAAAUCACUAAGCUGACUAAACCGGUUACCACAUAUAUCACAGCCAUGAGGUUUUUCACCUGUAUGUAUUAGCAUGUGUCUCUUUAAAUUUCCAAGCUGACUAAACUGUUGUCCACAUUCUGCACAUUCAUGAAGUAUAUUAUCUAUCUGUGUGUUUACAUGUCUCUGUAAAGAACAAUUGAUUGUGACUAAAUCCUCUUCUCCCUCUAGCAUCUUAUUGGUAAUUUUUUCUCCAGUAUGUGUGUUCUUGUAUAAC
RNAcentral lists this long non-coding RNA (1293 nucleotides) under Mytilus galloprovincialis (Mediterranean mussel). The record is from RNAcentral. Lineage: Eukaryota; Metazoa; Mollusca; Bivalvia; Mytilida; Mytilidae.